CCUACGGGGGGCAGCAGUGAGGAAUAUUGGUCAAUGGACGAGAGUCUGAACCAGCCAAGUAGCGUGAAGGAUGACUGCCUUAUGGGUUGUAAACUUCUUUUAUAUGGGAAUAAAAUGUUCCACGUGUGGGAUUUUGUAUGUACCAUAUGAAUAAGGAUCGGCUAACUCCGUGCCAGCAGCCGCGGUAAUACGGAGGAUCCGAGCGUUAUCCGGAUUUAUUGGGUUUAAAGGGAGCGUAGGUGGAUUGUUAAGUCAGUUGUGAAAGUUUGCGGCUCAACCGUAAAAUUGCAGUUGAAACUGGCAGUCUUGAGUACAGUAGAGGUGGGCGGAAUUCGUGGUGUAGCGGUGAAAUGCUUAGAUAUCACGAAGAACUCCGAUUGCGAAGGCAGUUCACUGGACUGCAACUGACACUGAGGCUCGAAAGUGUGGGUAUCAAACAGGAUUAGAUACCCGAGUAGUC
This 460-nucleotide ribosomal RNA is filed under the name uncultured bacterium. Its description in RNAcentral is "partial 16S ribosomal RNA". It matches the Rfam family "Bacterial small subunit ribosomal RNA", at positions 338 to 795 of the family's 1533-position model. The record is from RNAcentral.